CCUACGGGUGGCAGCAGUGAGGAAUAUUGGUCAAUGGGCGGAAGCCUGAACCAGCCAAGUAGCGUGCAGGAUGACGGCCCUACGGGUUGUAAACUGCUUUUAUACGGGAAUAACGCGCCUUACGUGUAGGGCUUUGCAUGUACCGCAUGAAUAAGGACCGGCUAAUUCCGUGCCAGCAGCCGCGGUAAUACGGAAGGUCCGGGCUUUAUCCGGAUUUUUUGGGUUUAAAGGGAGCGUAGGCCGGAUGGCAAGCGUGCUGUGAAAUGUCCGGGCUCAACCCGGGCCGUGCAGGGGGAACUGGCGUGCUGGAGUGCGCGGAAAGCAGGCGGAAUUCGUGGUGUAGCGGUGAAAUGCUUAGAUAUCACGAAGAACUCCGAUUGCGAAGGCAGCUCACUGGACUGCAACUGACACUGAUGCUCGAAAGUGUGGGUAUCAAACAGGAUUAGAUACCCGGGUAGUC
Molecule: ribosomal RNA, 460 nt
Filed under: uncultured bacterium
Lineage: Bacteria
Description: partial 16S ribosomal RNA
Rfam family: Bacterial small subunit ribosomal RNA
Source: RNAcentral